Asterias rubens (European starfish) is the source of this 9161-nucleotide long non-coding RNA. RefSeq lists it as uncharacterized. The record is from RefSeq and is a predicted model, not a curated record. Lineage: Eukaryota; Metazoa; Echinodermata; Asteroidea; Forcipulatida; Asteriidae. The transcript has 3 exons.
AGGCUCCGUUUGUGACACCGGUGAAUUGGCCGUGCAGGAAACGAGAUGAGAUUGAGUGCAAGAACUCGCUUGACUCAUCACAGAGGCACAGAAGGCUUGGAAACAACAAAUGCAUGAACAAGUACCACACAAGGAGCCACUGCAAACCGCUACUGGAUUCCCAGCAAUUCUGCGGGCUGCAGACCAUCGCAUCAUCACCACGGGAUACCAGUCACACCUCCAGCGUCAUGAUUACACCUACCUCAAGCCCAACAAAAGAGCUCGAUCAACCGACCAAGUCAGGGAGUAAUGGCCAAUACAGCCUCCGCUACAGCACUCGUUGUCAUGACAAUGAAAGAGACCAACAAGAGGUCCGAGAUGCAAGUAGCGAUGAGGAGAACGCAGAAGACAUUGACGGGGAUGAUGGGCGGGAACUCGGCAUCUUUCCGUUGGACCCUGGCAACGAUUUAGACGUCGAUCUCAUUGAACAAAAUUGAAAGGGGUGUAGGAUUUAUACGAUGUUACUUUUUUUAAUGUAAAUUUGUCACAUGUGGGACACAAUUUUCCACAUCUCAUCUAAAUCUAGUAGGAGAUAGAAUGACUUUUUUGAAAGUUAUUCUGAAUAUUCCAUACAAAAUCAAUCACUUAAAAGAAACACAGAGAAGAUGAGUUUAGAAAAUUAGCCUUUGUUUAAAAAUCUGCUUGCCGUGAGUUCACAUGAUUAUUUUAAAGAUAUAAAAGCUUCUCUUAGACUUAUUAUACAAUUUUAAUCACAACAAUGACUUGGUUUUCCCCCCUUUUUGUUUUUUAGGCAUAUAUUAACAAAGUAUUUAAUGUAUCACUCGAUUGUGGUGUCUGUUUUUUUCUUCAUGUGCUAUAUAUUUAUUUGGUAUUGUUUUGUGUUUUGCAAUAUGUAUUGAAUAGGGACUGUGAAGAUUCGUCAUGUGGAUUAUCAUCAAAGAUCAAAAUGUGUCAAUUACAGAGUGCUGGGGUUGAUUUCAUGAAAGAAGUCCUAACUUAGGACUAUUCUUAGGACUUUUAAGGAGCUAUUAGGCUAGUCCCAAGUCAGACAAAUAACUUGAGUAUCUCAAAAGAAGACUAGUCUGAACUCUUUGUGAAAUCUACCCAAUUCAAACUCAUCAUUUCUCAAUUCUCAACGGAAACUCAAACUCAUUGAAUAUCACAUUCAGGUGUACUUGCUACCCAUGUCAAACACACUAAAAAUAACGGGGCUCAUGUAGUAGGGAUGGAGGGCUGAGUUAAUCACAACCCACAUUUAGCCAUUUUGUUCUUGUUUUCCAAUAAAAGAUCCAAAACGAAUGUACGCAUAUACGGAUGUACCCACAAAUUCUUCUGUUGGAUUUGAAACUUUGCAUGGUCGGAGUACAAAGUAGAAUCAGGUGAGGUUUGCGGGUAGCACCAUGUAAAAAAAGAGAUUUACACAUAAGAUACAGCCGUGCGAUCACAAACCUGACCUGAUUAAAAAAAAUAUAUUUCUAUUUCUCUAACCCAACCUGGAUUUAAGAUUUGUUCAUUCAAUUGUGCAGAUUUGCAUGAGUGCCAUACCAGCUCAUUGUGCAAGUCUAAAAAUAACCCACAACAGACACAUCAUUCAUGGGAAAUGGUUUCAUUUUAAUUCAAAUGUACAUGUUAUGUACACACCCUGUAGUUUGAAGACACUUUUCUCUGGAGGAUAUUCACAGUCCACUAAUUUUUUUUUUCUUUCUCCUUUUUAAAACGGAAUUAUAUAUCAACUUCUCAUGUUGGUUUCAAAGAUCGGUUGAGAUCCUGCUGCAACCAAUAUAAUGCAAACAGGAAAGUAAUGAAAUAAUCAACAACUUCUCCGAUUUGUAAUGGUUUCAGGCAAGACUCCUGCCUUAUUUAUUUAUUUGUUUAUUAUUAUUAACUAGUUGUUAUUAUUUUUUAUAAUUGUUUUUGGAGGGGGGGGGGGGUAGUACUCAAAAGGUGUUAUGCCUCCCUAAUGGGUAUGGGUGUAAUUAUCCAACCAAACAGGUGUCUUUGUGAACCAAUCACGUGGUGCACUCACUUAGCAUGUUUCCUUCUUCUGAAGUGUUUAGCGGGAGGAGGAAUCUAAACGAUCACCUUACCAAACAUAUCCUGGCAACCUGGAAAGAGGCCAAUAUGUUGUCAUUUCUGACAUAAAGUUUGAGUAAAUAGAUCUAUUGCAGCCAUCUUGUUUUCCCUGCCAUUCCUAAUCAGAGGCUGGAAGGUCAAAAUAGUCUGCCCCCUGUAUGGAGUAAUGAGAAUAUAUUUUCAUUAUUGUCAAAGGAGACAGGGAACAUGGUUGUAAUGUUUGUUAAAGGUCUAUACCCUCUUCAAGAUGUUUAGUUGGAUGACCAUGGCUCAAUUUCAUAAAGCUAAUAAGCAGAAAAUACAGCUUGACAAAUUUCUUUGGUAAGCAAAACUUGAGUUCGGGCACCAGCCACGACAAUGCAAACUUAAUGUAAUUUAGGCUGGUAACCUGGUUCGGCUAAGCAAUACCAUUCUGUGCUUAGCAAGUUUUUGUGCUUGCAGGCUUUAUUAUGUUGGGCCCAUCAGUCAUGCCAGAGAGGCAGAAAGUGGUGUUAUCACCCAAGAAGUUCCUAGAUUGGGGAUCACUGCUAAUUUCAUUGGGGAAUAAAGAUCCAAUCGAAGCAUAUGCCAUUUGGGGUAGUUUUAUGUGUAUUACCCUGGAUGUUCACAAGGGAACAAAUAUCAAUCGGGGUGGAACUACAUACACCAAAUGGGGUACACUUUUGGAGCCUCAGCAAGUAGUAACAUCAGAAACCAUGUCAAACUAGAGUAGGUUGAAAUAUAAUUCCGUUUAUGUUUGAUUCAUUUUUGUUGAGAACAUAUGGUUUGUAUGUGCAUUUCUGUAGUGUAUUACUAGAGUAAUCUAAUAUCAUGAGUUUAGUAGAUAGCUAUGAAGCAGGGCAGUUUGCAAUAAUUUUAUGUUGGCUUUGUUUGUGUGUGUGUGUGUUUUUGUUUUGUUUAUGCUGUGUGUAAGAAGGAUAUCAACAAGCCAAUUUGUUUCAAGAUUUAUCCCCAUCAAAAAAUUAAAAAACAUUGUACCCAGACAAUAUGGAAUUUUUAGUUUGGGCAGUUUGUAUGUGUUUAAUGUACUGGUUACAUUCAUGAUAGUUUACGUUCGUGAUAAAACACUGUCACAUUUUUUCUGUGUAGAUUUUGGCCCAAAGGUCUUUUUCCACCGCACAUAGUUAAAGCAUACAACACAAAUCUACACAAUUGAUCAUUUAUGAGUUCCUGCAUAGACAAGACACACUCUGGAAUUCUCUCUUUGUUUGAUCAAAGAAAACAAAAUGUACUUCCAAAGAGUUUCUGGUUUGUGCCUUGAUCUACCUUUGAGUGUUCAUCUAAAUAUACUGUUCCCUUUGAUUUCACUUCCUCUGCUGAUGAAAGAAAUUUGCCAAAUGAAAACUUUCCCCAAAUUGCUUAACAGUAAAUUGACUAUAUUUAUGGAAUUAACAGUUUUGUUUUGCUGUGAAUGGUGAGUAGUUAUUUUAACAAAGGAUGGAACUGAAUGUCAUUCUUUGAAACAUUAACAGUUUGCAGUUAAAAAGUAAAAAACAAAAUAGUUAUUGUUAACUCUGCGUUGCUGAUAGACUGAGGAAAACUCAAUACAGUUUAUGCAGUUGAUGUUUUGUUUACAUAAGGUUGAUCAUGUGACCAGUAUUUGUAAAUAAAGGUCAUUCAAGAUCAGUAUUGCUAAUUAAGUUCAUGUGACUGCUAUAAAAUGAAGGUGUGUGAUUGAUACUGCUCAAAUCAGGUCAAGUGAGUAGAGUUCAAUGGGGUCACAUGAUCAUCACAUGAGGUCAUGUGAUACAUUUUGAAGAAGUUUUGAUACAUCUAUUACUGACAAAUAAAAUUUUAUGACCGUUUUGUCAACAGAUGUUAAGCAACCAAAAUUGUCGGACUGGGUCAUGUUACCAAUACUGAAAAGUUAUAUCAUGUGAUCGACAUGCCUAUGAGGUCAUGUGACCUGAUAUUGUCCACAAGGUCAUGUGAUCAGUCAAGUAUCAGCUUCUUGAAUGAAAAUCUUGAGCAAUGAUUUUUUCUUAAAAAGAGAAGUGAUUUAUUCAAGUAAGCACUCUGUGCUUCCAAGAUGACAGUGAACAGUCAAUUUCAUGAACUUUUUUUCUACAUUUGUGAAUCGAAUGAAAGAGUGACCAGAAAUUACUCUUGUAUUCAAAUUAAAUGAACUUAUUGUUUGCUUAGUAGCUUAUCGGUUUUCAAAAGGCAUUUCAUGACAAUUUGCGUGAUUACUGAUUUAGCAUGGAUAUGAUUAUUGCAGGUCUCAUAUUUUUAACUUGUACAAUUAUCUGAUUAAUAGCUUUAAUGAAUUGUUUUGAAGAGAAAAAAACAUGAAAAAAACCUACAAACAAAAAGAUGCUGUUGAUAUUUGUUCUUUAAUGAUAAUAUAUAUAUUUUAGGGAUACUUUGACUGCACAUUUAUAAAUGAAUUUCUGUAGUGAGACACUUUGGUUGUGUGAUGUUGGAACCAAAUAAAGUGCUUGGUAUCGAUUUAAUAUUGAUAACGACAAUUCAGGGUGUGUCUUGCCUGCUUUAUAGCACUGUACAUGUAUCAAUUGUUUAGGAGAACGGUUUGGUUGUUCCUAUAAAAAAAAGGUGUUCCAUUCCAAGAAAGUUUGUGAGUCGGUCUUUCAACCAGGUAAUAUGAAAAAGCGUUAGAUUAUUUUGCACUCCAGCCGUUCCUGGUGUUUUUAUUAGCUUGAUUAAAAAGCAGUAUUAUUAUCAAUUGGAAUUUUUUUGAUGGGAGAGUGAGAGGGGGUGCGAGUGAGUGAACUGAAAAGUAGGAAUGUAGCCUUUUUGGAGAGACCUUACUAUAAACUAAUUACUGAAUUAAAAUCAGUGUUUUAACUUAGUCACAUGAGAUGCACUAAAAUGGUGUUAGAAGCUCGGUGUAUAAAAGUGCUGCUUACAAUGUUGAUAAUUCCCCUUGUCAGUUCAUUUUAUACACAGGCACUGGGUGUUGAUGCUCGAACGCUGAGUGUUGAUACUCAAACACUGAGCGUUGAUAUUCAAACACUGAGUGUUGAUAUUUAAACACUGAGUGUUGAUACUCAAGUACUGAGUGUUGAUACUCAAGUACUGAGUGUUGAUACUCAAUCACUGAGUAUUGAUACUCAAACACAGUGUUUAUACUCAAUCACUGAGUGUUAAUACUCAAUCACUGAGCAUUGAUACUCAAUCACUGAGUGUUGAUACUCAAACAUGAGCUUCUGUUCUUAAGCACCGAGUACUCUCUCAUUUCCUUAGUAAUUUGAUGUAAUUUUAACAAAAUUAAUAACACAAAUUAAAUAGUGAGAACAUGUUCUAUUUUUUAUAAACCUGACACUUGUUGGGUUUUUGGUUAGCAUAUAUAAGUUGGUUGGAAGGCACAGUUAUAAUUGUUUUAUUUUUCAUGGUAAAAUUUUGACUUAUAAGAAUGUUAUUUCAGUCUUUGGAGCUGAUAGUCUACCAUGGUAUUAAAUGCUUGGUAAACAUUUGUAUGUUUUCUUUCAUAGUGCUGUAAAUGUGUUAUUGGGCUGAAGAGUUUUCCUGCUGAAGAAUAUUGUUCUUAAAGUCUGGGAUUCCACAGGUGUGUUCUGUAACUCAGAGCUCCUGUAAACAAAUUGUUGUGAGACAUAUUUUGGGACUUUCUCAAAAGCAGAAUACCUUGAAUCAUUUUUUUUAAAAAGGCUCAGUUUCUUUCAAGAAAUGUACCACCUGCCAGCAAUGUGGAAGAAAAUAUCCAGUGUUUUUACCUCCAUGUUGGAUUUAUAAUAGUCGUAAUGGAUUGAUACUGUGCCACUAACUUUGGACUUGUUGUUAAACCAAUCUUGUUAUUCUAAGUUGUAUAUAAUUUUUGUGGGUUUGAUAAAAAAAAUUAAAUAGUAUUCCCAGGCUAUUGUAGUCUGGCUCCUCUAGUUGCCUUACUUAAGUACCUUUUUCUGCACAUCCAGUCCCCCGACUCACUCGGUGUUGUAUAACUAGACAGUGAAGAGCACUUUGAUAUAAUUGACACUUGGUGUGACUAGACCUUACUCAUGCAUCCGCCAUUUUACACACACGUCUAUGGGAGUCAAACUGAGGCUCAUUGGCAGAGUAGGCUGGUGCCUUGUACAUUGUGAACUUUUUUCGAAGUGGUUUUAAAUUGAAAGUCAGGGAACAAUACAACAAUAUGGCGGUGUGAUGAGGGUCUAUUAUUGUGAUAUUAAUGAUAAUGAACUUUUUGAACAAUGCAUGAUAAUUAUUAGACUUGACCAUACGGGUGUUGAAAAUAAGCUGAAAUCUUACAAUUUUUGUAAAAAAAAAGUUACUGUCUUUGAAUACAUUUGUAUAGAAUGUCCUGUGGAAAUAGGAAGAGAAAACUAGGAUUCAAAACAGAGUUAAAAGAUUAAGAUGUACAAUCAUAGAAAAGAUCGAAUUGCAUGAACUGUAUAAAUUUACAUCAACAUUUUAGUUUAAAACAAUCAAUAAUUAAUGUAUGCAUGGUUUAAUGUUUCAUAAUUGAUUAGUUGUAAAGCAUUUCAGUAGCGUUAUUGCUGAGCAACUUUUCCAAACUGCAAUGAAUUGAAGGGCUUAACAUUUCCAAUGCUUUUUAACAAAAACACUUGAACUAUUCAUAAUAUAUUGGGAAAAUUUCAUUAGAAAAUAUUAGCUAUUUAAGUAUGAUGAUUUUAGCUCAUGAAUUAGUAGAGAGUUGGUCUUCACGAAAAUAAAAACUGCACUGUUCAAUUUUUAAAAAUGAAACAUGCAACUUCUGAUAAUAGUUUUGCCUUUUUUAAAACUGAGAAUAAAGCUGUUCUAUUUGGUGUUCCUCUGCUACUAAAUAUCCCUUGCAGGAGGUUAUGAGUUAUGCUGCUUUGAAAAACUUUUCCGACUAACUCUUAUUCUUAACACUUAAGAAACUUCCGGGACAGGAUUGACCUGGAGCCGGGUUCCAUGGAACCUGACACAUUUCUGGGUCAGUAUGAUCAGGGAUCUGUGUCAAUUGAUCCUGAAUGGGUCGAAAUGGUGCAGAAUCUUGGUUAAGGUCAAAUUUGUAUCCACUUCCUGGGUCGCUCUGACCCAGAAAUGGGCCAGGAAUGCGGGUCAUAAUUGACUCUGGUAUUUUUUGAGUGUAUGAGAAUUGUUAAAAUUGACUCGUUAUCAUGAAAAAGUUGGGCUCGCUAAAAUAAACUUGAUUGGUUUCCUUAUCCUGUAAUCUAAAAUAUGACUGAAGCUGUUUCUUUGUUCAUAUAUAUAAACUCCUUUCUUAUAGCUGAAUGGGGUUGCUCGUGGUUACUGGGAAUGGUAACUAGGAUGCAUAAUCCUGUGUAUUAAUUCUUUUGUUGUUGUUUAUAUGGCCUUAAAGAGUAUAGUUUCCAAGUUGAUUUGUAAGAGGGUUUUACACUGAUGCAUUAAUGUUUUUAUUUGAUUUAAGUCUCUUAGUCUAACAUCAUUAGUUGUUUGUUUUUCUUUCGUGUUGAGGGAAGAGAAGAGUGAUUUCAUUACUGUUGAUUUAACAAAAACAUAGAUUUUUAUUUCAUAUUGAUUUUUCAUAAAACCAGUACUACCCAUUUAGUUAAAAAAAAAAAAUUUUUUUUGUUGUUGUUAUGUUCCAAGCUUCAUUUUGUAAGUUGCAAAAAAUCCACAAUGUUUGAAUUUUUUUAUUUUUAACAGCUGCUUUAAAGUAGUUAAUAUUAACUAGGUUUUUGUUUGCAGAUUGAUUUUUUUUUUAUGUUAAAAAGCUAGGGACCAACAUUUGUGAUGUGGAGUUGAUGAAUGGUUAUUGUGAACAUUUUAUAUAUAAUUCAUGAAUUUUAAAGUUGGCUUAUGGUAUAGUUUAUUUUGUACACAUCACGUUGGAUUUAUGCACAUCAACAAGCCACUUUUAGAUUAUGUUUUGCUGUGUUCCUAAGUUUGAACUUGUAUAUCACAAUUUAAAUAUAAUUUUAUCAGUCAGCUCCAAUACUCCUUAGAGCAAAAAAGUUAUUCCUGUUUUUGUUUUUAUUUUAAUGCCUGACUUUAUGCACUUUUAAUAUCACAGAUCAAGUAUGAUGUGUUUUUGUGAGACAUAGCGGCAGUGUUGUAUCACUUGCAUCAUUUUGCCAGAAAUGGUUCACACAUCUUGUCCCAUUAUUACUUCUAAUGCUUUGCCGUGCUCCUUUGAGUUUGUUCAUUUUUUUGUGUAACCAUUAAGUUAAAUUUUUUUAAGGCCGAUACCCAUUUUAAGCACCAGCAUAAUCACGAUGUCGGUGCAACACAAGUUUGAAGAGAAGUUUGGUUUUAAUUUUGUUUUGUUGUUCAGCGAAUGGUUGGAAUUUGUCAUGACCCAACCAGAUAGUUAUGAGAUUGUGUUGGAGAGUAGACCAUCGUGGUGCAUCAAAAGACUGUUUUCUCAAUGAUUUGAGGUAUUGGAUUGGAUCCGAACCUUCCAUUUCAAGAUACUGUAUGUUAUGCAUGUAGAUGAGGACUUCACUGUGGUCAACUUGCUAAUGGUCAUCUCGGUGGUUUUUAAUGGCUAAGCUUGGUCACUAUAGGCAAUUCUGAAGCAUUUUGCUUAAAGCAAGUGGCUUCAAAAUAGCUGAUAGCUCUUAAGUCAAGUAAUAACCAUUAAAUUCAGAAAAACACAAAAUGUUUAUUGGCAUUAAGCAAUAGAUGAGUAUCAUCCCUAAUUACUUUGUCCUUCCAAAGUAUAUUUCCCAGUUACUAGGAAGCUCUUAAGAAGUAUUUACUUUACCAAUACAAACCAAACGAGGCAAUUGUUCUCCGAUGAUUAGGAUCUAUCAGAACUGUGGUCAUUAUGACGAUUAGAGAAAUACUUAUAAUAUUGUCCAAAAAUAAAAGUUAAAAAUUCAGUGAUGUGAGACCGUAAACGUACCUUCAUAGGAUUAAUACAAGUGUAAGAAUAUUACUAGCAAAUAGUUAAGUCCAAAAAAAUGUAAUUGAUGAAUCUGUAGUUUCAGUGAUAAAUUUAGCAUGUUGUUAGUCACUUGAUCUAGUACAUGUUUUGAUCUGUCAUUGAUAACUACUGUCCCCUUCUAUCUAAUGUUUUAUCUUUCCCGUUAGUUGAGACGUUGAGGUGUUCUGACCAUCCGCUGUUGUCAUGGUAACAGCUGUUAUGGAGUGGGGAAUAAAAGAUGCUUAGGCCCUACACAUGUUUUGAUAAAACAUUA